AUUGAACGCUGGCGGCAUGCCUAACACAUGCAAGUCGAACGGUAACAGGCCCUUCGGGGUGCUGACGAGUGGCGGAUGGGUGAGUAAUACUUAGGAAUCUACCCUGUAGUGGGGGACGAACCCGGGGAAACGUCGGGCUAAUACCGCAUACGCUCUACGGAGGAAAGCGGGGACCGCAAGGCCUCGCGCUAUUGGAUGAGCCUAAGCCCGAUUAGCUAGUUGGUGGGGUAAUAGCCACCAAGGCAAUGAUCGGUAGCUGGUCUGAGAGGACGACCAGCCACACUGGGACUGAGACACGGCCCAGACUCCUACGGGAGGCAGCAGUGGGGAAUAUUGGACAAUGGGCGAAAGCCUGAUCCAGCGAUGCCGCGU
This 372-nucleotide ribosomal RNA is filed under the name uncultured bacterium. RNAcentral describes it as "bacterial SSU rRNA". It matches the Rfam family "Bacterial small subunit ribosomal RNA", at positions 30 to 402 of the family's 1533-position model. The record is from RNAcentral.